Long non-coding RNA from Aphis gossypii (cotton aphid), 436 nucleotides. RefSeq lists it as uncharacterized. NCBI's taxonomy places the organism in Eukaryota, Metazoa, Arthropoda, Insecta, Hemiptera, Aphididae. The transcript has 3 exons. The record is from RefSeq and is a predicted model, not a curated record.
AAUAAUAUAACGUAAUGCGCGAACGUGGCACCACUCGACGAUGACCAACGGACGUACACCGUUGUACAAUCACGCCAUGCCGCCUGACGCUAAUCAGAGGUAUAAAUAGGAGCCCGGCUCCUCGAUUUCGGCAUAACACAUUUUUUGUGCAAAUCUAUUCUUUGUCUUUUCUCUAUUUCACUCCACGAAAACCAACCAAAAUCAAAAAUGGGCGCUGAAAAGGUAUCCAUGAACAUCGUUGUCGUUGGACAAGUCCAAUCUGCCAAGGCCAUCAAGACCGUCGCCAAGGCCGCCCCAGCCACCAGCCAAUUGAUGAACUGUUAAUUCAACAUGUAAUUCAUACAUCGCAAAUCCAAAAAUGCCAUAGCCCAAACAAUACUUUUAUCUAAUCAAUAUUAUGUAUUGACAUUACAAAAUAAAUCAAUCUUUUCCGUAA